AUACCAAGAGUAACCUUGCCUGCCUUCCAGGGCUGUUGUAAGGAGCUCAUACUUAUCGAAGGAGUUUGUAAAGUGUUAGGUGCCACAGAAGACCAAGUAACUACAUAGGUUAAAUGGUAGUAUCUGGAUGACAAAACCGUAUUGUCCUUCUUCAUCUUCUUUGCCAAGAUCAUGGCCCGAGGCCAAUGAUUUGAAAAUGCGUAGCUGAGAAAGAGAGAGAGAAAAAGAGGGAGAGAGAAAAGAAAGCAGUUUACUGGCUCAAUGUUAUUGCAGGGA
Molecule: long non-coding RNA, 276 nt
Filed under: Homo sapiens (human)
Lineage: Eukaryota; Metazoa; Chordata; Mammalia; Primates; Hominidae
Description: non-protein coding lnc-SRRM4-5:1
Source: RNAcentral